CAGCAGCCACGGGAAUACGUAGGUGGCGAGCGUUGUCCGGAAUCAUUGGGCGUAAAGGGAGCGCAGGCGGGCAUGUAAGUCUUUCUUAAAAGUUCGGGGCUCAACCCCGUGAUGGGAAAGAAACUACAUGUCUUGAGUACAGGAGAGGAAAGCGGAAUUCCCAGUGUAGGGGUGAAAUGCGUAGAUAUUGGGAGGAACACCAGUGGCGAAGGCGGCUUUCUGGACUGCAACUGACGCUGAGGCUCGAAAGCCAGGGGAGCGAACGGGAUUAGAUACCCCUGUAGUCCCUGUCUCUUAUACC
This 301-nucleotide ribosomal RNA is filed under the name uncultured bacterium. RNAcentral describes it as "partial 16S ribosomal RNA". It matches the Rfam family "Bacterial small subunit ribosomal RNA", at positions 509 to 808 of the family's 1533-position model. The record is from RNAcentral.